This 162-nucleotide ribosomal RNA is filed under the name Trichomonas vaginalis. Its description in RNAcentral is "5.8S ribosomal RNA". It matches the Rfam family "5.8S ribosomal RNA". Rfam says of the family: 5.8S ribosomal RNA (5.8S rRNA) is a component of the large subunit of the eukaryotic ribosome. Lineage: Eukaryota; Parabasalia; Trichomonadida; Trichomonadidae. The record is from RNAcentral.
CAAGUCUCUAAGCAAUGGAUGUCUUGGCUCCUCACACGAUGAAGAACGUGGCAUAAUGUGUUAAGUAACCGGAGUUGCAAACAUCAUGACAGGUUAAUCUUUGAAUGCAAAUUGCGCUAAACUCGAUCUCGGUCGAGCAAGCAUGCGGUGUGACAGUACUAC